Molecule: ribosomal RNA, 252 nt
Filed under: uncultured bacterium
Lineage: Bacteria
Description: partial 16S ribosomal RNA
Rfam family: Bacterial small subunit ribosomal RNA
Source: RNAcentral
UACGGAGGGUGCGAGCGUUAUCCGGAUUUAUUGGGUUUAAAGGGUGCGUAGGCGGGCUUUUAAGUCAGCGGUAAAAAUUCGGGGCUCAACCCCGUCCGGCCGUUGAAACUGGGGGUCUUGAGUGGGCGAGAAGAAGGCGGAAUGCGUGGUGUAGCGGUGAAAUGCAUAGAUAUCACGCAGAACCCCGAUUGCGAAGGCAGCCUUCCGGCGCCCUACUGACGCUGAGGCACGAAAGUGCGGGGAUCGAACAGG